UGCGUAGGCGGCGCGGUAAGUGAGGUGUGAAAGCCCACGGCUCAACCGUGGAACUGCGCUUCAUACUGCCGUGCUUGAGGGAGACAGAGGUAAGCGGAACUGAUGGUGGAGCGGUGAAAUGCGUUGAUAUCAUCAGGAACACCAGUGGCGAAAGCGGCUUACUGGGUCUCUUCUGACGCUGAGGCACGAAAGCUAGGGGAGCGAAC
Molecule: ribosomal RNA, 206 nt
Filed under: uncultured bacterium
Lineage: Bacteria
Description: partial 16S ribosomal RNA
Rfam family: Bacterial small subunit ribosomal RNA
Source: RNAcentral